Molecule: ribosomal RNA, 399 nt
Filed under: uncultured bacterium
Lineage: Bacteria
Description: partial 16S ribosomal RNA
Rfam family: Bacterial small subunit ribosomal RNA
Source: RNAcentral
CCUACGGGUGGCUGCAGUGGGGAAUAUUGCACAAUGGGGGAAACCCUGAUGCAGCGACGCCGCGUGAGUGAAGAAGGAAUUCGUGAUGUAAAGCUCUAUCAGCAGGGAAGAAAAUGACGGUACCUGAGUAAGAAGCCCCGGCUAACUACGUGCCAGCAGCCGCGGUAAUACGUAGGGGGCAAGCGUUAUCCGGAUUUACUGGGUGUCAAGGGAGCGUAGACGGCAGUGCAAGUCUGGAGUGAAAGGCGGGGGCUCAACCCCCGGACUGCUCUGGAAACUGUACGGCUGGAGUGCAGGAGAGGUAAGUGGACUUCCUAGUGUAGCUGUGUACUGCGUCUAUAUUAGGAGGCACCCCAGUGGCGAAGGCGGCUUACUGUACUGUAACUGACGUUGAGGCUC